RNAcentral lists this ribosomal RNA (465 nucleotides) under Vreelandella stevensii. RNAcentral's name for it is "partial 16S ribosomal RNA". It matches the Rfam family "Bacterial small subunit ribosomal RNA", at positions 338 to 795 of the family's 1533-position model. Lineage: Bacteria; Pseudomonadati; Pseudomonadota; Gammaproteobacteria; Oceanospirillales; Halomonadaceae. The record is from RNAcentral.
CCUACGGGAGGCAGCAGUGGGGAAUAUUGGACAAUGGGGGGAACCCUGAUCCAGCCAUGCCGCGUGUGUGAAGAAGGCCCUCGGGUUGUAAAGCACUUUCAGUGAGGAAGAACGCCUGGUGGUUAAUACCCAUCAGGAAAGACAUCACUCACAGAAGAAGCACCGGCUAACUCCGUGCCAGCAGCCGCGGUAAUACGGAGGGUGCGAGCGUUAAUCGGAAUUACUGGGCGUAAAGCGCGCGUAGGUGGCUUGAUAAGCCGGUUGUGAAAGCCCCGGGCUCAACCUGGGAACGGCAUCCGGAACUGUCAAGCUAGAGUGCAGGAGAGGAAGGUAGAAUUCCCGGUGUAGCGGUGAAAUGCGUAGAGAUCGGGAGGAAUACCAGUGGCGAAGGCGGCCUUAUGGACUGACACUGACACUGAGGUGCGAAAGCGUGGGUAGCAAACAGGAUUAGAUACCCUUGUAGUC